This 200-nucleotide unclassified non-coding RNA is filed under the name Membranomyces sp. RNAcentral's name for it is "partial internal transcribed spacer 2". The record is from RNAcentral. Lineage: Eukaryota; Fungi; Basidiomycota; Agaricomycetes; Cantharellales; Hydnaceae.
UUAAGUUCAGCGGGUAGUCCCACCUGAUUCGAGGUCAAAAGCUGAAAAAGUGGAACAGAUUCAGAAUCCGCUCUACCAAAAUUAGAAGCAGCCCAAAUGAGAAUUGGCCAUCUCGAAAGAUGUCCUCGGCGGUCAGAUCAUUAUCACGCUGAGUAGAACCAAUACCACAUGAAAAGCCAGCUAAUGCUUUUGAGGCCAGC